GCUGGGCACGGUGGCGCGUGCCUGUAAUCCCAGCUACUCAGGAGGCUGAGGCAGGAGAAUUGCCUGAACCCAGGAGGUGGAGGUUGCGGUGAGCCGAGAUCGUGCCAUUGCACUCCAGCCUGGGUAACAAGAGCAAAACUCUGUCUCAC
Molecule: non-coding RNA, 149 nt
Filed under: Callithrix jacchus (white-tufted-ear marmoset)
Lineage: Eukaryota; Metazoa; Chordata; Mammalia; Primates; Cebidae
Source: Rfam by way of RNAcentral